UGGGGAAUAUUGCACAAUGGGCGCAAGCCUGAUGCAGCCAUGCCGCGUGUGUGAAGAAGGCCUUCGGGUUGUAAAGCACUUUCAGCGAGGAGGAAGGUGGUGAGCUUAAUACGCUCAUCAAUUGACGUUACUCGCAGAAGAAGCACCGGCUAACUCCGUGCCAGCAGCCGCGGUAAUACGGAGGGUGCAAGCGUUAAUCGGAAUUACUGGGCGUAAAGCGCACGCAGGCGGUUUGUUAAGUCAGAUGUGAAAUCCCCGGGCUCAACCUGGGAACUGCAUUUGAAACUGGCAAGCUAGAGUCUCGUAGAGGGGGGUAGAAAUUCCAGGUGUAGCGGUGAAAUGCGUAGAGAUCUGGAGGAAUACCGGUGGCGAAGGCGGCCCCCUGGACGAAGACUGACGCUCAGGUGCGAAAAGCGUGGGGAGCAAACAGAUUAGAUACCCUGGUAGUCCACGCUGUAAAACGAUGUCGAUUUUGGAGGUUGUGCCCUUGAGGCGUGGNUUCCGAGCUAACGNGUUAAAUCGACCGCCUGGGGAGUAC
RNAcentral lists this ribosomal RNA (538 nucleotides) under uncultured bacterium. Its description in RNAcentral is "partial 16S ribosomal RNA". It matches the Rfam family "Bacterial small subunit ribosomal RNA", at positions 355 to 883 of the family's 1533-position model. The record is from RNAcentral.